CAGUAGCCGCGGUAAUACGAAGGGGGCUAGCGUUGUUCGGAUUUACUGGGCGUAAAGCGCACGUAGGCGGAUCGAUCAGUCAGGGGUGAAAUCCCAGAGCUCAACUCUGGAACUGCCUUCGAUACUGUCGAUCUGGAGUAUGGAAGAGGUGAGUGGAAUUCCGAGUGUAGAGGUGAAAUUCGUAGAUAUUCGGAGGAACACCAGUGGCGAAGGCGGCUCACUGGUCCAUUACUGACGCUGAGGUGCGAAAGCGUGGGGAGCAAACAGGAUUAGAUACCCCCGUAGUCCCUGUCUCUUAUAC
RNAcentral lists this ribosomal RNA (301 nucleotides) under uncultured bacterium. RNAcentral describes it as "partial 16S ribosomal RNA". It matches the Rfam family "Bacterial small subunit ribosomal RNA", at positions 509 to 807 of the family's 1533-position model. The record is from RNAcentral.